UCAGACGAUGCGUCAUGCAUAUCAAUAAGCGGAGGAAAAGAAACUAACAAGGAUUCCCCUAGUAACGGCGAGUGAAGCGGGAAGAGCUCAAAUUUGAAAUCUUAAAGGGUUUCCCUUUACGAAUUGUAGUUUAAAGAAGUGUUUUCUGUUGAGGUUUUGGUAAAAGUUCUUUGGAAUAGGACAUCAUAGAGGGUGAGAAUCCCGUAUUUGACCUUUACUUUCAACUUUGUGAUACACUUUCAAAGAGUCGGAUUGUUUGGGAAUGCAGUCCAAAAUGGGUGGUAAAUUUCAUCUAAAGCUAAAUAUUGGCGAGAGACCGAUAGCGAACAAGUACCGUGAGGGAAAGAUGAAAAGAACUUUGAAAAGAGAGUUAAACAGUACGUGAAAUUGUCAAAAGGGAAGCGUUUGACACCAGUGUUGUUUUUCUGAAAAUCAAUUAAAGAACUGUUUAUGCUAAGUUGUUUAGACUUUAUCAGCUAUCUGUUUAGUUUUGAGCUUUUCUUUAAUGCACUUUUCAGUUAACAAGCCAACAUCAAUUUCUUUUGCUGUAAAAAAGCUUGAGGAAGGUGGCUUGAGAUUCGUCUUAAGUGUUUAUAGCCUCUUGCCUAUGCAGUCGGAGAGAUUGAGGUCUGCAGCGUAGAUCCUUCGGGGCUAAAUGCAUUUGUGCUAAGUUAUAGCAUUUUAUAGACAACUUGUUGACUAUGAUUUGUCUUGUAGCUUACUCGCUUAUGUUAUUUUACCUACGCUUAGGAUGUUGACACACGCGCGUGCUCG
RNAcentral lists this ribosomal RNA (774 nucleotides) under uncultured Neocallimastigales. Its description in RNAcentral is "partial large subunit ribosomal RNA". It matches the Rfam family "Eukaryotic large subunit ribosomal RNA", at positions 18 to 643 of the family's 3401-position model. Lineage: Eukaryota; Fungi; Neocallimastigomycota; Neocallimastigomycetes; Neocallimastigales. The record is from RNAcentral.